GGAACCCGGGCAAAGCCGCUACUUGAGAGAUUUGGGCUGAGGGGUCAGAGGAAGGAACAGAGAGGAAACGGUGCACCCUCAGAGAAGCCGUCACCAGAGGACCCGUCACCAAGGGACCCGUCACCAGGGGAAGCAGAGCAGCUGGACGAAGCUUCGAAUGCCCUCAGCCACAUUCAGAAUCUUGGCUCCAACGCCGGCAACAUUCUCCUCCUUCGUGUCCGGGCUCGCAGCAGAGGCCGACGGCAGGAUGGGGAUGGCUGGGGUUGCAGGGGUCCCCCUCUGGACGGCUUCCUGAUCCUCCGGGGGCAGCUUGGGGUUAGCAGGAGUCAUCUGUUGUUCUGUGAGGCCAUCCUGGGGGACCAGGUGAGUGGUGGGGUUCUCUGUGGACUGCACAGGUGAACUGAUCUGGGGCUGGGAGUCUGGUGUGUCCAAGGAAUCCUCGGUCUUGGGGGACCACAGCCACCCCAGAGGAUUCAGAGGAUUCAGAGGAUUCAGGGGAUUCAGGGGAUUCAGGGAAUUCCCAUCAGCCCUGGCAGGCACAAGGCAGCAGAAGAGCAGCAGCAGCAGCAGGCAGAGGCGUCUGCUGGGGUCGGGAGCCAUCAGGGCAGUGCAAGCCUCCGAGCUGGGGCGGCUCCUGUGGUCCUGGGGGUGGAGCUUGCCAGAUCCCCACCCUCCCCCAUUCCCAUUUCCCAGCCUCACUCCUCCUCCGCCAUUUCCCUCUGGCAGAAGGGAAGGAACCCAGCCUGAGAAUCAAGGUGACCCACCAACAGGUACCUUCAGAAUCCAUUUAACUCCUUCCUUCUUGCACCUCCAGGAGCAGCUACAGAGUGCAAAAGCCUUCAAGAACCACGACUGUUUGGCUAUUCUGGAUCCCAUGAGGCUCGACACAGCUGGAGUUCUGCUGGUCUGUAAGCAGCUGGGCUGGACCACUGGCAACUUUUCAGAACUUCUUUAAAUUGUUCCAGUGUCCUUUGAUGGCUUUAAAACACACUUUACACGUCUUUUGCUAACUUUGCUCCUUGAUACUUUAUGAAUUUGGGGCGCUAUUAUAAGUUGGCUUUUUCUCUUGACAUUUUUUCCCCCUGUGGAUUUUCUGUUGCCAGUUUGUAGACACACACUGGCUCUGGGAUACUGAGCUUGUGUCCUGCGAUCUAGCAGAACUCAUUAGCUCUGACUGUUUUCUAGUGGGUUCCUUGAGCUUUUUUUUUUUUUUUUUUUUUUUUUUUUUUUUUUUUUUUAAAUAAUUGAAGGCCUGGCAUCUACAAAAAGAGAUAGUUUCAUUUCUUGGUUCACAGUGCAGAGGUCUUUUAUGUUCUUUUCCUUGCCUAACUGGCCUUCUGGUUUAGUGGUGAAUGAAAGGAAUGAAAAAGACAUUCUUGCCUUGUUCCUGACCUCAUGGGAGUAUCCAGCCAUUCAUAAAUAUCAUUUUCUAAGUUGAGGAAGUUCUUUCCAGAGGGGUAUGGAUUUGUAUCUGGGGUACACAAAGAACUCCCAGCACAAGAGUAGUAAGCAAUUCUAUUACCAGAGAUGGAGAAAUCCAAAUAAACGCCACUGCAAUGGAGAUAAAUUCCUAGUGAAGUCAAAGAGGCCUGAAUCCUCAGCCACUGAAAGCCUGAGUACGAAUCACAAGUCCCUGUUUCUCACCCAGCGAGGCUGCCAGCAUCACAAGGCAGAUAGAUGGCAGAGAGCUGGGAAGAUGGCUCAAUGCAAGACAGCAAACCAAGACUCAUCCACUACCGACCAGCGUAAAUGUGGUCCAUCAGUGACAUACUCUACAGCCACAAAAAGGGAUGGAGCGCUGGCAUGUGCUGUGCUGGGGAUGAAAGACAAUUUAGACUCCCCAGAGACAUCCUGCUGAGUGAAAGGAGCCCACACGAUAUGACUCAUUUGCACGGAACACCCAAAAUUGGCAAUCCUGUAGCAGAAAGCCAAAAAAACAGUGUGCAGGGCAGGGGAGGGCUUGGGGAAUGGGCUGGAAGCCAAGCAGUUUAAGGAGAUGUUCUGAAGUUGACGGUAUUAUCUUGGAAUUCACCAAAAGCAAUGAAUUAUAUCUGUAAAUGAGUGGGUUGCAGGCUUGUGAAUUAUGUCAAUAAAUCUGUAAAAGGAAAAGAAAGAAAACACCCACAUCACAUUUCCAAACCCCAAGAUCCUCAAUCUGUAUGUAUUUGAUCUUUAACAAGGUAGAAUUUUUUUUUUUUUUCAAGGAUCUCAUAAAAUGUUUCUUUUGGAA
Molecule: long non-coding RNA, 2230 nt
Organism: Meriones unguiculatus (Mongolian gerbil)
Lineage: Eukaryota; Metazoa; Chordata; Mammalia; Rodentia; Muridae
Exons: 3
Source: RefSeq, a predicted model, not a curated record